GACGAACGCUGGCGGCGUGCUUAACACAUGCAAGUCGAACGGAAAGGCCCUGCUUUUGUGGGGUGCUCGAGUGGCGAACGGGUGAGUAACACGUGAGUAACCUGCCCUUGACUUUGGGAUAACUUCAGGAAACUGGGGCUAAUACCGGAUAGGAGCUCCGGCUGCAUGGUGGGGGUUGGAAAGUUUCGGCGGUUGGGGAUGGACUCGCGGCUUAUCAGCUUGUUGGUGGGGUAGUGGCUUACCAAGGCUUUGACGGGUAGCCGGCCUGAGAGGGUGACCGGCCUCAUUGGGACUGAGAUACGGCCCAGACUCCUACGGGAGGCAGCAGUGGGGAAUAUUGCACAAUGGGCGGAAGCCUGAUGCAGCAACGCCGCGUGCGGGAUGACGGCCUUCGGGUUGUAAACCGCUUUCGCCUGUGACGAAGCGUGAGUGACGGUAAUGGGUAAAGAAGCACCGGCUAACUACGUG
RNAcentral lists this ribosomal RNA (468 nucleotides) under uncultured bacterium. RNAcentral describes it as "partial 16S ribosomal RNA". It matches the Rfam family "Bacterial small subunit ribosomal RNA", at positions 28 to 507 of the family's 1533-position model. The record is from RNAcentral.